GUGAAAAAAUAAAUAAAUAAAUAACAGAGCCAUGGUGGUUCCGUCACAGACAGCAUUAGACCGUUACUCUGUAAUCAAAACAUGCAAGCCUACAGGCUUCUUCUCUGGGAUUCCUGUCAUAAACCUGACCAACCCUGAUGCCAAGACCCUCAUAGUUGAGGCUUGUCAGGAGUUUGGGUUCUUCAAGUUGGUCAAUCAUGGAGUCCCAUUGGAGUUCAUGACCAGAUUGGAAGCUCUGGCUAUCAACUUCUUUAAUCUCCCUCAGUCCGAGAAAGAUAAGGUUGGCCCUCCUGACCCUUUUGGCUAUGGCAACAAGAGAAUUGGCCCUAAUGGUGAUGUUGGUUGGAUUGAAUAUCUGCUCCUCAACACCAAUCCUCAAAUCACUUCCAACAAAACUUUCUCCAUUUUCCAGGAGAACCCACAAAUUUUCCGCUCUGCUGUGGAAGAUUACUUAUUGGCAGUGAAGAGAAUGGCCAACGAAGUACUGGAUUUAAUGGCUGAUGGAUUGGGGAUUGAGCCAAGGAAUGUGCUGAGUAAGCUGCUGAGUGAUGAGAAGAGUGACUCAUGCUUCAGGCUAAACUACUAUCCACCAUGCCCAGAGCUGCAAGCAUUGAGUGGUAGAAAUUUGGUUGGGUUUGGGGAGCACACAGACCCACAGAUAAUUUCUGUCUUAAGAUCUAACAACACCACUGGCCUGCAAAUCUGUCUGAGAGAUGGGACUUGGGUUUCAGUCCCACCUGAUCAGGCCUCCUUUUUCAUCAAUGUUGGUGAUGCCUUGCAGGUAAUGACCAAUGGAAGGUUUAGGAGUGUGAAGCACAGAGUUAUAGCUGACACAAUGAAAUCAAGAGUUUCCAUGAUCUACUUUGGUGGUCCACCCUUGAGUGAAAAGAUUGCACCUCUACCAUCUGUUUUAGCAGAAGGGGAAGAAAGCUUAUAUGAGCAGUUCACAUGGUGUGAAUACAAAAACUCAGCUUACAAGUCAAGGUUGGCUGAUUACAGGCUUGGGCUAUUUGAAAAAAAACUGCAGGCCAUUUUAGCAAAUGUUUAGGUUUUUGUCAAAGCUCAAAAUAGGUUUGACAGAGUUUACUGAAAUUCCCGUAGAUGGAAAAGCAUAUAGGUCGUUCUUUUACUUUUCUUUUGUGGAUUUUUUUUUUCUCUCUCUUCUGGUUUAAAUGUAACAGCAAAUGCAGCAGCUUCUCUACCAUCAAUGCAAGUUAUCAUCAUGUCAUCAUGUAUACAAUACUA
Molecule: unclassified non-coding RNA, 1245 nt
Filed under: Hevea brasiliensis (rubber tree)
Lineage: Eukaryota; Viridiplantae; Streptophyta; Magnoliopsida; Malpighiales; Euphorbiaceae
Source: RNAcentral